AUUCCCCCAGUAGCGGCGAGCGAACGGGGAGCAGCCCAGAGCCUGAAUCAGUGUGUGUGUUAGUGGAAGCGUCUGGAAAGGCGUGCGAUACAGGGUGACAGCCCCGUACACAAAAAUGCACAUACUGUGAGCUCGAUGAGUAGGGCGGGACACGUGGUAUCCUGUCUGAAUAUGGGGGGACCAUCCUCCAAGGCUAAAUACUCCUGACUGACCGAUAGUGAACCAGUACCGUGAGGGAAAGGCGAAAAGAACCCCGGCGAGGGGAGUGAAAAAGAACCUGAAACCGUGUACGUACAAGCAGUGGGAGCACGCUUAGGCGUGUGACUGCGUACCUUUUGUAUAAUGGGUCAGCGACUUAUAUUCUGUAGCAAGGUUAACCGAAUAGGGGAGCCGAAGGGAAACCGAGUCUUAACUGGGCGUUAAGUUGCAGGGUAUAGACCCGAAACCCGGUGAUCUAGCCAUGGGCAGGUUGAAGGUUGGGUAACACUAACUGGAGGACCGAACCGACUAAUGUUGAAAAAUUAGCGGAUGACUUGUGGCUGGGGGUGAAAGGCCAAUCAAACCGGGAGAUAGCUGGUUCUCCCCGAAAGCUAUUUAGGUAGCGCCUCGUGAAUUCAUCUCCGGGGGUAGAGCACUGUUUCGGCAAGGGGGUCAUCCCGACUUACCAACCCGAUGCAAACUGCGAAUACCGGAGAAUGUUAUCACGGGAGACACACGGCGGGUGCUAACGUCCGUCGUGAAGAGGGAAACAACCCAGACCGCCAGCUAAGGUCCCAAAGUCAUGGUUAAGUGGGAAACGAUGUGGGAAGGCCCAGACAGCCAGGAUGUUGGCUUAGAAGCAGCCAUCAUUUAAAGAAAGCGUAAUAGCUCACUGGUCGAGUCGGCCUGCGCGGAAGAUGUAACGGGGCUAAACCAUGCACCGAAGCUGCGGCAGCGACGCUUAUGCGUUGUUGGGUAGGGGAGCGUUCUGUAAGCCUGUGAAGGUGUGCUGUGAGGUAUGCUGGAGGUAUCAGAAGUGCGAAUGCUGACAUAAGUAACGAUAAAGCGGGUGAAAAGCCCGCUCGCCGGAAGACCAAGGGUUCCUGUCCAACGUUAAUCGGGGCAGGGUGAGUCGACCCCUAAGGCGAGGCCGAAAGGCGUAGUCGAUGGGAAACAGGUUAAUAUUCCUGUACUUGGUGUUACUGCGAAGGGGGGACGGAGAAGGCUAUGUUGGCCGGGCGACGGUUGUCCCGGUUUAAGCGUGUAGGCUGGUUUUCCAGGCAAAUCCGGAAAAUCAAGGCCGAGGCGUGAUGACGAGGCACUACGGUGCUGAAGCAACAAAUGCCCUGCUUCCAGGAAAAGCCUCUAAGCAUCAGGUAACAUCAAAUCGUACCCCAAACCGACACAGGUGGUCAGGUAGAGAAUACCAAGGCGCUUGAGAGAACUCGGGUGAAGGAACUAGGCAAAAUGGUGCCGUAACUUCGGGAGAAGGCACGCUGAUACGUAGGUGAAGCGACUUGCUCGUGGAGCUGAAAUCAGUCGAAGAUACCAGCUGGCUGCAACUGUUUAUUAAAAACACAGCACUGUGCAAACACGAAAGUGGACGUAUACGGUGUGACGCCUGCCCGGUGCCGGAAGGUUAAUUGAUGGGGUUAGCGCAAGCGAAGCUCUUGAUCGAAGCCCCGGUAAACGGCGGCCGUAACUAUAACGGUCCUAAGGUAGCGAAAUUCCUUGUCGGGUAAGUUCCGACCUGCACGAAUGGCGUAAUGAUGGCCAGGCUGUCUCCACCCGAGACUCAGUGAAAUUGAACUCGCUGUGAAGAUGCAGUGUACCCGCGGCAAGACGGAAAGACCCCGUGAACCUUUACUAUAGCUUGACACUGAACAUUGAGCCUUGAUGUGUAGGAUAGGUGGGAGGCUUUGAAGUGUGGACGCCAGUCUGCAUGGAGCCGACCUUGAAAUACCACCCUUUAAUGUUUGAUGUUCUAACGUGGACCCGUGAUCCGGGUUGCGGACAGUGUCUGGUGGGUAGUUUGACUGGGGCGGUCUCCUCCUAAAGAGUAACGGAGGAGCACGAAGGUUGGCUAAUCCUGGUCGGACAUCAGGAGGUUAGUGCAAUGGCAUAAGCCAGCUUGACUGCGAGCGUGACGGCGCGAGCAGGUGCGAAAGCAGGUCAUAGUGAUCCGGUGGUUCUGAAUGGAAGGGCCAUCGCUCAACGGAUAAAAGGUACUCCGGGGAUAACAGGCUGAUACCGCCCAAGAGUUCAUAUCGACGGCGGUGUUUGGCACCUCGAUGUCGGCUCAUCACAUCCUGGGGCUGAAGUAGGUCCCAAGGGUAUGGCUGUUCGCCAUUUAAAGUGGUACGCGAGCUGGGUUUAGAACGUCGUGAGACAGUUCGGUCCCUAUCUGCCGUGGGCGCUGGAGAACUGAGGGGGGCUGCUCCUAGUACGAGAGGACCGGAGUGGACGCAUCACUGGUGUUCGGGUUGUCAUGCCAAUGGCACUGCCCGGUAGCUAAAUGCGGAAGAGAUAAGUGCUGAAAGCAUCUAAGCACGAAACUUGCCCCGAGAUGAGUUCUCCCUGACCCUUUAAGGGUCCUGAAGGAACGUUGAAGACGACGACGUUGAUAGGCCGGGUGUGUAAGCGCAGCGAUGCGUUGAGCUAACCGGUACUAAUGAACCGUGAGGCUUAACCUUACAACGCCGAAG
RNAcentral lists this ribosomal RNA (2684 nucleotides) under Shigella flexneri. Its description in RNAcentral is "partial 23S ribosomal RNA". It matches the Rfam family "Bacterial large subunit ribosomal RNA". Lineage: Bacteria; Pseudomonadati; Pseudomonadota; Gammaproteobacteria; Enterobacterales; Enterobacteriaceae. The record is from RNAcentral.